UGGGGAAUUUUGGACAAUGGGCGAAAGCCUGAUCCAGCAAUGCCGCGUGUGUGAAGAAGGCCUUCGGGUUGUAAAGCACUUUUGUCCGGAAAGAAAUCCUUGGCUCUAAUACAGUCGGGGGAUGACGGUACCGGAAGAAUAAGCACCGGCUAACUACGUGCCAGCAGCCGCGGUAAUACGUAGGGUGCAAGCGUUAAUCGGAAUUACUGGGCGUAAAGCGUGCGCAGGCGGUUUGCUAAGACCGAUGUGAAAUCCCCGGGCUCAACCUGGGAACUGCAUUGGUGACUGGCAGGCUAGAGUAUGGCAGAGGGGGGUAGAAUUCCACGUGUAGCAGUGAAAUGCGUAGAGAUGUGGAGGAAUACCGAUGGCGAAGGCAGCCCCCUGGGCCAAUACUGACGCUCAUGCACGAAAGCGUGGGGAGCAAACAGGAUUAGAUACCCCUGGUAGUCCACGCCCUAAACGAUGUCAACUAGUUGUUGGGGGAUUCAUUUCCUUAGUAACGUAGCUAACGCGUGAAGUUGACCGCCUGGGGAGUACGGUCGCAAGAUUAAAACUCAAGGAAUUGACGGGGUCAUAGCUGUUUCCU
RNAcentral lists this ribosomal RNA (586 nucleotides) under uncultured bacterium. Its description in RNAcentral is "partial 16S ribosomal RNA". It matches the Rfam family "Bacterial small subunit ribosomal RNA", at positions 355 to 1375 of the family's 1533-position model. The record is from RNAcentral.